UACGGAGGGUGCAAGCGUUGUUCGGAAUUACUGGGCGUAAAGAGCGUGUAGGCGGUCGAUUAAGUCAGGUGUGAAAGGCCUUGGCUCAACCAAGGAAGUGCUUCUGAAACUGAUCGACUUGAGUACGGGAGAGGAGAGUGGAAUUCCUGGUGUAGAGGUGAAAUUCGUAGAUAUAAGGAGGAACACCGGUGGCGAAGGCGACUCUCUGGACCGAUACUGAUGCUGAGACGCGAAAGCGUGGGGAGCAAACAGG
Molecule: ribosomal RNA, 253 nt
Filed under: uncultured bacterium
Lineage: Bacteria
Description: partial 16S ribosomal RNA
Rfam family: Bacterial small subunit ribosomal RNA
Source: RNAcentral